UCCUGCGAUCAGCCUUACAGGUGUCGGGAGAUAACCAUAUUGGCUUUCCUUUGUUGUGACGAAAUACCCAACAUAAACACCGGAGGAAAGGCUUACUUUGGCUCAGGCUCUCAGACGUUCCGCUCCGCGGGCAGCUGGCUCUUUGGUCUUGGUCCGGGGUCGAGCAGAAAUAUGGCGGACUCCCAGCAGCCGGAAGCGGGCUGAGCGGGAACACUGAGGGGAGCACCGGGUGGGAAGAGGUGAGGCCAGCAGUCCUCUUCCUCCGUGGCCCCCAGCUCCCAAGAGCCCCUGCAGCUGUGGGCUCCUACGUGGCCACCGAUUGAGGUUCACGUCUACAGGUUCUCCCUCCUCUCAGGCCCUGACUAAAUAUUGCCGCAUGGGGAUCCGACUCGGAACACGUGGGACUUUGAGAGGAUGGUCUCAAGGUACAUCCAUUUAGUUACAAAUGUGCCAGACCCCACAGUACUGGUCAUGCCCAAAGCAUGCUGUGAGCAGUGUGGGCUGCAGAGUUAGCCCCUCCUGGCUCACUGUAAGAAGUGAGUCUGAAGCUCCGCCACGCACAGAAGCAGCUCAUGAGCACCACGGGAGCAUGCAGCUCAACAUGACCUCCCUGUCCACGGCCACUGCCGAGACCAGAGUGAUGGCCUGUGAAGAUGUGGGGCUCGUACAAGACAAUGGAGAAACGCUGUGGCUGCCGUCCUAGAGUGAGUGCCAUGGACAGAGAUGGGGCCCCAGACAGCAGCGCCAAGUGGCACCCCACUGAGAGCCACUCAGAGGCUGAGUCUAAGGAGCCCCACACGGCCCAACACCUACAGAUGCUCAUGAGCAGAGGUCUGCUCAGAGGGGCCGCCCACGUCCACCAGGGAGACCUGUACCCAAGUGGGUGCCACGGGUGCCAAGCCAGAGCAGUGGUCCUGCGCGAGAGAUAAGAUGGA
Molecule: long non-coding RNA, 935 nt
Organism: Fukomys damarensis (Damara mole-rat)
Lineage: Eukaryota; Metazoa; Chordata; Mammalia; Rodentia; Bathyergidae
Exons: 3
Source: RefSeq, a predicted model, not a curated record